This is an RNA transcript of Propithecus coquereli (Coquerel's sifaka), 2263 nucleotides long. It is a transcript of the gene named T-complex protein 1 subunit zeta pseudogene, with no coding region annotated. NCBI's taxonomy places the organism in Eukaryota, Metazoa, Chordata, Mammalia, Primates, Indriidae. The record is from RefSeq and is a predicted model, not a curated record. The transcript has a single exon.
CAACCUGUGGCCCAAUGGCAGCAGAGUGUGGGCACGCCGGGGGGCAGGCCCAGCGCGCCCAACUUUUCCAGAAGACCCGGAUAGUACCUCCCAGCCACACCGAGCCAGCUCUGGGCACUCCAAACGCCGGCUUUCCCCCUCUUCUUCUGUUCGAUCAGCUAUGGCGGCCGUGAAGACUCUGAACCCCAAGGCCGAGGUGGCCCGAGCCCAGGCGGUGCUGGCAGUCAACAUCAGCAGGGCUCUGGGGCUGCAGGACGUGCUCAGAACCAACUUGGGGCCUAAGGGCACCAUGAAGAUGCUUGUUUCUGGCGCCGGAGACAUCAAGCUUACCAAAGACGGCAAUGUACUGCUUCACAACAUGCAAAUUCAACACCCAACAGCCUCCUUAAUAGCAAAAGUGGCAACAGCCCAAGAUGACAUAACUGGUGAUGGUACUACUUCCAUGUCCUAAUCAUUGGAGAGCUGCUGAAACAGGCGGAUCUCUACAUUCCUGAAGGGCUUCAUCCCAGAAUAAUCACUGAAGGAUUUGAAGCUGCAAAGGAAAAGGCCUUUCACUUUUUGGAACAAGUCAAAGUAAGCAGAGAGAUGGACAGGGAAACACUUAUAGAUGUGGCCAGAACAUCUCUUCGUACUAAAGUUCAUGUUGAACUUGCAAAUGUCUUAACAGAGGCUGUAGUGGACUCCAUUUUGGCCAUCAAAAGACAAGAUGAACCUAUUGAUCUCUUCAUUGUUGAGAUCAUGGAGAUGAAACAUAAAUCUGAAACUGACUCAAGCUUAAUCAGAGGGCUUGUUUUGGACCAUGGAGCCCAGCAUCCUGAUAUGAAGAAAAGAGUAGAAGAUGCCUACAUCCUCACGUGCAAUGUGUCAUUAGAAUAUGAAAAAACAGAAGUGAAUUCUGGCUUUUUUUUACAAGAGUGCAGAAGAGAGAGAAAAACUAGUAAAAGCUGCAAGAAAAUUCAUUGAAGAUAGAGUUAAAAAAAAUAAUAGAACUGAAAAAGAAAGUUUGUGGUGAUUCAGAUAAAGGAUUUGUUGUUAUUAACCAAAAGGGAAUUGACCCCUUUUCCUUAGAUGCUCUUGCAAAAGAAGGCAUAGUAGCUCUGCGCAGAGCUAAAGAGAGAAAUAUGGAGAGGCUGACUCUUGCUUGUGGUGGAGUAGCUCUAAAUUCUUUUGAUGACCUAAAUCCUGACUGUUUGGGACAUGCGGGACUUGUCUAUGAGUACACAUUGGGAGAAGAGAAGUUCACCUUUAUUGAGAAAUGUAACAAUCCUCGUUCUGUCACAUUAUUGGUCAAAGGCCCAAAUAAGCACACACUCACUCAAAUCAAAGAUGCAAUAAGAGAUGGCUUGAGGGCGGUCAAAAAUGCUAUUGAUGAUGGCUGUGUGGUUCCAGGUGCUGGUGCGGUAGAAGUGGCAAAGGCAGAAGCCCUGAUUAAAUAUAAGCCCAGUGUAAAGGGUAGGGCCCAACUUGGAGUCCAAGCAUUUGCUGAUGCAUUGCUCAUCAUCCCCAAGGUUCUUGCUCAGAACUCUGGUUCUGACCUUCAGGAAACGUUAGUUAAAAUUCAAGCUGAACAUUCAGAAUCAGGUCAACUUGUGGGUGUGGAGUUGAACACAGGUGAGCCAAUGGUGGCAGCAGAACUAGGCGUAUGGGAUAACUAUUGUGUAAAGAAACAGCUUCGUCACUCCUGCACUGUGAUCGUCACCAACAUUCUCUUAGUUGAUGAGAUUAUGCGAACUGGAAUGUCUACUCUGAAAGGCUGAAUUGAAGCUUCUCUUGUAUCUGAAUAUUGAAGACUCUCCAAAGUGAUCCUGAGGAAGAUACGUGUGGAAAUUUUGCCCAAGCAUCAAGUGGUUUUCAAAGGAAUUUUCUUUGCCCAUAUGAAAAAAGGAGAGAACACUGGCACCUAUUUAAAUUCUGAAGUUCUGAAAUUACAAUUACAGUAUUUUUUAAAUUGCACUGAAAUACACACAUAAAAGGAGGUCCUUUUUACCUAGUGAACAGGAUGUUUUGCUUUAGCUGCAGUGACAAAAUUACGUGUUAGAUAAACAUGUUAUCUACCUUGUUAUUAAUUAUUCCUUGAAAAACAAAUUUUAAUGGUUUAAUAAUUUCUUAUGUGGAUGUAUUUUAAAUUAUCCAACAGUACCCUACUGUUAAGCAUUUAAGGUGAAAAUUUUUAUGCUAAUAUAAAUAACAAGUAAUUUAUGAUUUUGAAAGCAUUCCUGUUUCCUUAGUAUAAAUUUCUAUGAGUAAAAUUAUUGGAUCAGUU